GAUUUCUGGACAUCAGUUUUUAGCCGGCCACGGUUUCGUGUGUUAGUGCUUAAAACUUUGUCCAUCCUUCCAAUUGCUGUUUAUUGAUCUUCAUUGAUUGAUAUAAUAGUAUUGGAUCUUUUACUUUGAAAAAAUUAGAGUGUUUAAAGCAGGCUUUAUGCUAUGAAUACAUUAGCAUGGAAUAAUAAUUUAGGACUUCGGUUCUAUUUUGUUGGUUUCUAGGACUGAAGUAAUGAUUGAUAGGGAUAGUUGGGGGUGCUAGUAUUCAGCGGCCAGAGGUGAAAUUCUCGGAUUCGCUGAAGACUAACUUAUGCGAAAGCAUU
Molecule: ribosomal RNA, 323 nt
Filed under: uncultured Sandona
Lineage: Eukaryota; Cercozoa; Glissomonadida
Description: SSU rRNA
Rfam family: Eukaryotic small subunit ribosomal RNA (bases 114-323)
Source: RNAcentral